GCAUUGGUGGUUUAGUGGUAGAAUACUCUUCUUCCAUGUAAGAGGCCUGGGUUCAAUUUCCGGCCAAUGUA
Molecule: transfer RNA, 71 nt
Filed under: Loxodonta africana (African savanna elephant)
Lineage: Eukaryota; Metazoa; Chordata; Mammalia; Proboscidea; Elephantidae
Rfam family: tRNA
About the family: Transfer RNA (tRNA) molecules are approximately 80 nucleotides in length. Their secondary structure includes four short double-helical elements and three loops (D, anti-codon, and T loops). Further hydrogen bonds mediate the characteristic L-shaped molecular structure. tRNAs have two regions of fundamental functional importance: the anti-codon, which is responsible for specific mRNA codon recognition, and the 3' end, to which the tRNAs corresponding amino acid is attached (by aminoacyl-tRNA synthetases). tRNAs cope with the degeneracy of the genetic code in two manners: having more than one tRNA (with a specific anti-codon) for a particular amino acid; and 'wobble' base-pairing, i.e. permitting non-standard base-pairing at the 3rd anti-codon position.
Source: Rfam by way of RNAcentral